Molecule: long non-coding RNA, 350 nt
Filed under: Gallus gallus (chicken)
Lineage: Eukaryota; Metazoa; Chordata; Aves; Galliformes; Phasianidae
Description: long non-coding RNA NONGGAT001562
Source: RNAcentral
UCCUGCAUUGCAGGCAGUCCUUAAUGCUGUAUCAGCCCUCAAAAACACUGGGUGGCUACCUGAGCUAGCAGUGCCCUGAAAAUUUGCUUUGUACCAGAAAAUGGCUUGGGAAAGAAGGACUGUGAGAAAAGAACCCUGAGCUGCACCGGUUUUGCUUGUGUUCUACUAGAUGAGAUACUAGCCUGCCCAGUAUCACAGCAUCCUGGACAUGUGGUUAUUUUCUCUGGUGGCACUGGAACACAGAGAAACAGGUAGAGAUAUCAAAGGAUCAAGUUGCAUCUUUCAGAAGGAGUGCAUGUACCAACCAGAGGAGUGAAAGCAGUAAUUCCCUCAUUCUUUCCCAUCUGUUU